Molecule: ribosomal RNA, 800 nt
Filed under: uncultured Bacillota bacterium
Lineage: Bacteria; Bacillati; Bacillota
Description: bacterial SSU rRNA
Rfam family: Bacterial small subunit ribosomal RNA
Source: RNAcentral
GCGAGCGUUAUCCGGAAUCACUGGGCGUAAAGGGUGCGUAGGCGGCUAGAUAAGCCAGAGGUGAAAGGCUACGGCUCAACCGUAGUAAGCCUUUGGAACUGUUUAGCUUGAGUGCAGGAGAGGAGAGUGGAAUUCCUAGUGUAGCGGUGAAAUGCGUAGAUAUUAGGAGGAACACCAGUGGCGAAGGCGACUCUCUGGACUGCAACUGACGCUGAGGCACGAAAGUGUGGGGAGCGAACAGGAUUAGAUACCCUGGUAGUCCACGCCGUAAACGAUGAGUGCUAGGUGUCGGGGGUUCACACCCUCGGUGCCGGAGUUAACGCAUUAAGCACUCCGCCUGGGGAGUACGGUCGCAAGACUGAAACUCAAAGGAAUUGACGGGGACCCGCACAAGCAGCGGAGCAUGUGGUUUAAUUCGAAGCAACGCGAAGAACCUUACCAGGACUUGACAUCCCUAUGACCGGUCCUUAAUCGGACUUUUCCCUUCGGGGACGUAGGAGACAGGUGGUGCAUGGUUGUCGUCAGCUCGUGUCGUGAGAUGUUGGGUUAAGUCCCGCAACGAGCGCAACCCUUGUCUUUAGUUGCCAGCAGGUAAAGCUGGGCACUCUAGAGAGACUGCCGGUGACAAACCGGAGGAAGGUGGGGAUGACGUCAAAUCAUCAUGCCCCUUAUGUUCUGGGCUACACACGUGCUACAAUGGCUGGUACAACGGGAAGCCAAGGAGUAAUCUGGAGCGAAUCCCAAAAAGCCAGUCCCAGUUCGGAUUGUGGGCUGCAACUCGCCCACAUGAAGUCGGAGUU